AUGGCGAGCUUCACAUGCAACCCCUUCGCCUUCCUUCCGCCGGGCUUCUCCAUCGAGCAAGGCCCCUCUGAUCACAAGGUGAGGGCAGACAUGGCUCUCAGCGCGACUCCACCACUCUGCCAUGAUGACUAUGCCAUUUCUGAGUCCAACAGGCCUAUUCCAAUUCAUCUCCGUCAGGUCGCCAGACAGGAAAUUGUAAGGCUUCCGAACCAUUUCAGGUUUUUUGUUAGAGAUGCGCAAGAUUCUGCUUUUGGUCUUGGAUUGUAUUGCUUCCGCAAUGGUUUGAUUAGGGAUGUUGUAGUUGGGAAAAGUUACUUGCUUGGUGAGGACAAUGAGGUUACUUUUGUUAAGCAUGAUGAAGGUCUGAACAUGCGCAUGCCUUCAUUGGGUAGGCAGAUUUGGUUUCUGAUGCUUGCUUUCCCUCAAGACUAUCAAAAAAAAUUCGGGAUUGAUAAGGCAGUUUCUCAAUUUGGAAAAUUAAUUCAGUGGUUCACACCUCAGGAUCCAGUCUCUAGUGUACUUGUCAAAUCUUGGAUCAUGAGUCUGUCACUUGUGCCUAGUAGUUUUGUGAUGCGGCAAAUGGGUGGUCAGCGUAGAUCUUGGACGGUGCCAGUUUACUAA
This 621-nucleotide ribosomal RNA is filed under the name Triticum aestivum (bread wheat). RNAcentral describes it as "partial small subunit ribosomal RNA". Lineage: Eukaryota; Viridiplantae; Streptophyta; Magnoliopsida; Poales; Poaceae. The record is from RNAcentral.